AACGCGAAGAACCUUACCUGGGCUCGAAGCGUAGUGGACCGAGGUAGAAAUACUUCUUUCCCGCAAGGGACUGCUACGUAGGUGCUGCAUGGCUGUCGUCAGCUCGUGUCGUGAGAUGUUGGGUUAAGUCCCGCAACGAGCGCAACCCUUAUUGUCAGUUGCCAUCAUUUAGUUGGGCACUCUGGCGAAACCGCCUCGGAUAACGGGGAGGAAGGUGGGGAUGACGUCAAGUCCUCAUGGCCUUUAUGUCCAGGGCCACACACGUGCUACAAUGGUUGGUACAAACCGUCGCAAACCCGUGAGGGGGAGCUAAUCGGAAAAAGCCGGCCUCAGUUCGGAUUGGAGUCUGCAACUCGACUCCAUGAAGCUGGAAUCGCUAGUAAUCGCGGAUCAGAACGCCGCGGUGAAUACGUUCCCGGGCCUUGUACACACCGCACGA
Molecule: ribosomal RNA, 439 nt
Filed under: uncultured bacterium
Lineage: Bacteria
Description: bacterial SSU rRNA
Rfam family: Bacterial small subunit ribosomal RNA
Source: RNAcentral